This is a long non-coding RNA of Sander lucioperca (pikeperch), 904 nucleotides long. RefSeq lists it as uncharacterized. The record is from RefSeq and is a predicted model, not a curated record. Lineage: Eukaryota; Metazoa; Chordata; Actinopteri; Perciformes; Percidae. The transcript has 2 exons.
ACAAAGGAAUGUCAAUUAUAUACGUCUGUCUUGUUUUUUUGGCCCCUGGGCUGUGGUCUGUGCAUGUAGUCCGUUCCAGAUUAUACGUUUUAUACGUCAGCUGUGGGCUAAGAGAUACGUGAGCUUAGAAUUGGCAAGGUGACCAGAUUCAGAGAUCAGGAGACAGAUUAUUAGCUUCAAAUAGCCUGCGUAGUCUCUGACUAACAAACACAUCAUGGCAGCUUUCUGUCAGGUGGCUUGAAGCGUGAGCGCAGAACCUGACCUCCCCUGUAAAAGUCUGUGUAUGGGUGCGUGGUUGUUUGAACAGACGAAUGGCAUGUUAAUUAUUAGCCAGGUCAUUUGUUGACAACAUUUCAGAAAGUAUUAAUCGAAAGUCUCUCAAGAGGUGACUUGGACUCUUGGACUUUUUUUCAGAGGAACCUAAAGGUACAAACACAUGUUUACAUUUUGUGUUUCUCAACUAAACACAUUGUGUACACCAGAUACUUUCCUAACAAAACAGGGACACAAACAUGGCUGCAUAGGGCCUCUAGUAUUUAAAAACUCCAAAGAGUACCUUUUUAAGCUUUUACGUCUAACAAUAUAAACCACAAGAGUCUGUAAUUCCUUAACCUUCCUCCUAAAGAUAAGUUUCUUCUCAGCACAUUUCAUAUUCUCUUUUAAGGCAAGCAUGGCCACAGAAAGAGAGAAGUAACCUCUUAAAGCAUGCACAGAGGGGAAAGGAGUAAAAAGGGUGGUGCUGCCUCUGAUUGAAUUGUGUUUUUCUCUGAACAGCGUGUCUCUAGCAGAGUGUAGAGCUUAAACUGUUCCGACUAAAAACAUGCUGAGAACAGGAGAGAACAAAAUGCCUUGGAUGUCACACUCUGCCCCAUACCAGCCCGAAGAAAAUCUGUUUAGCACAAAC